CAGUCGCCGCGGUAAUACGGAGGGUGCAAGCGUUAAUCGGAAUUACUGGGCGUAAAGCGCACGCAGGCGGUCUGUCAAGUCGGAUGUGAAAUCCCCGGGCUCAACCUGGGAACUGCAUUCGAAACUGGCAGGCUAGAGUCUUGUAGAGGGGGGUAGAAUUCCAGGUGUAGCGGUGAAAUGCGUAGAGAUCUGGAGGAAUACCGGUGGCGAAGGCGGCCCCCUGGACAAAGACUGACGCUCAGGUGCGAAAGCGUGGGGAGCAAACAGGAUUAGAUACCCGAGUAGUCCCUGUCUCUUAUAC
RNAcentral lists this ribosomal RNA (301 nucleotides) under uncultured bacterium. RNAcentral describes it as "partial 16S ribosomal RNA". It matches the Rfam family "Bacterial small subunit ribosomal RNA", at positions 509 to 807 of the family's 1533-position model. The record is from RNAcentral.